RNAcentral lists this ribosomal RNA (919 nucleotides) under uncultured archaeon. RNAcentral's name for it is "bacterial SSU rRNA". It matches the Rfam family "Archaeal small subunit ribosomal RNA", at positions 12 to 921 of the family's 1478-position model. The record is from RNAcentral.
UCCUGCCGGAGGUCACUGCUAUUGGGAUUCGGCUAAGCCAUGCAAGCGGAGGGCGCGGUCGAAAGAUCGUGGCCCCGCACACUGCUCAGUAACACGUAGUCAACCUACCCUUGGGACGGGGACAACCUCGGGAAACUGAGGCUAAUACCCGAUAGGUGAGGGACGCUGGGAUGCCUCCUCGCCCAAAGCUCCGGCGCCCAAGGAUGGGACUGCGGUCUAUCAGGCUGUUGGUGGUGUAACGGACCACCAAACCUACGACGGGUACGGGCGAUGGGAGUCGGAGCCCGGAGAUGGGGACUGAGACAAGGCCCCAGGCCCUACGGGGCGCAGCAGGCGCGAAAACUCCGCAAUGCGCGCAAGCGUGACGGGGGGAUCCCAAGUGCCGUUGGUCUUUCGAUCGACGGUUUUUAGGAAGUCUAAGAAGCUUCCAGAAUAAGGGCUGGGCAAGACUGGUGCCAGCCGCCGCGGUAACACCAGCAGCCCAAGUGGUGGCCACGAUUAUUGGGCCUAAAGCGCUCGUAGCCGGAUCAGCAAGUCCCUUGUGAAAUCGGGCCGCCUAACGGUUCGGCGUGCAAGGGAUACUGUUGGUCUUGAGGCCGGGAGAGGUCGGAGGUACUCCUGGGGUAGCGGUGAAAUGCUCUAAUCCUAGGGGGACCACCAGUGGCGAAGGCGUCCGACCAGAACGGACCUGACGGUGAGGGGCGAAGGCUAGGGGAGCGAACGGGAUUAGAUACCCCGGUAGUCCUAGCUGUAAAGCAUGCGGGCCAGGUGUCUAGUGCUCCUUGAGGGCACUAGGUGCCGGAGGGAAGCCGUUAAGCCCGCCGCCUGGGAAGUACGGCCGCAAGGCUGAAACUUAAAGAAAUUGGCGGGGGAGCACCACAAGAGGUGGGACCUGCGGUUCAAUUGGACUCAACGCCGG